CUUAGUAUCGGGCCAGCGGGCGGUGUAAUACUAAGGGGGCGAGCGUUGGUCGGAAUUACUGGGCGGAAAGCGCGCGUAGGCGGCUGAGCAAGUUAGGCGUUAAAGUCCGGGGCUCAACCUGGGGACGGCGCUUCAGACUGCUAGGCUUGAGUCCGGAAGAGGGUGGUGGAAUUCCGAGUGUAGAGGUGAAAUUCGUAGAUAUUGGGAGGAACACCAGUGGCGAAGGCGGCCACCUGGCCCGGUACUGACGCUCAAGUGCGAAAGCGUGGGGAGCAAACAGGAUUAGAUACCCUAGUAGUC
This 300-nucleotide ribosomal RNA is filed under the name uncultured Bacillus sp. RNAcentral describes it as "bacterial SSU rRNA". It matches the Rfam family "Bacterial small subunit ribosomal RNA", at positions 496 to 795 of the family's 1533-position model. Lineage: Bacteria; Bacillati; Bacillota; Bacilli; Caryophanales; Bacillaceae. The record is from RNAcentral.